This 28-nucleotide non-coding RNA is filed under the name Mus musculus (house mouse). The record is from RNAcentral. Lineage: Eukaryota; Metazoa; Chordata; Mammalia; Rodentia; Muridae.
UCAGAAUCCUAACACCAGUAUCCUGCUA